AUAUCAAUAAGCGGAGGAAAAGAAACUAACAAGGAUUCCCCUAGUAACGGCGAGUGAAGCGGGAAGAGCUCAAAUUUAAAAUCUGGUUUGCUUGCAAAUCCGAGUUGUAGUCUGAAGAAACGUUUUCCAUGAAAAUCGAGGCACAAGUCCUUUGGAACAGGGCAUCAUAGAGGGUGAGAAUCCCGUCCAUGGUCUCGAAUCUUUCAUUUUGUGAUACGUUUUCUAAGAGUCAGGUUGUUUGGGAAUGCAGCCUAAAAUGGGUGGUAAAUUUCAUCUAAAGCUAAAUAUUGGCGAGAGACCGAUAGCGAACAAGUACCGUGAGGGAAAGAUGAAAAGCACUUUGGAAAGAGAGUUAAACAGUACGUGAAAUUGUUGAAAGGGAAACGCUUGGAGUCAGUCGCGUCGGCCGGGAUUCAGUCGUCCCUUCUUCGGACGGAUUACUUCCCGGUGGACGGGUCAACAUCGAUUUCAGACGGCGGAUAAGGGAGCAAGGAAGGUGGCACCUUCACGGGUGUGUUAUAGCCUUGUUUCGCAUACGCCGACUGGGAUCGAGGUCUGCAGCGCGCCACUUAGGCCGGGGGUUCGCCCCACGUUACGCGCUUAGGAUGUUGGCAUAAUGGCUUUAAGCGA
This 630-nucleotide ribosomal RNA is filed under the name uncultured fungus. RNAcentral describes it as "eukaryotic LSU rRNA". It matches the Rfam family "Eukaryotic large subunit ribosomal RNA", at positions 40 to 647 of the family's 3401-position model. Lineage: Eukaryota; Fungi. The record is from RNAcentral.